RNAcentral lists this long non-coding RNA (1414 nucleotides) under Piliocolobus tephrosceles (Ugandan red Colobus). Its description in RNAcentral is "lncRNA (ENSPTEG00000024087.1)". The record is from RNAcentral. Lineage: Eukaryota; Metazoa; Chordata; Mammalia; Primates; Cercopithecidae.
UAUUGAUUUAAUUAAAAAUAAUAAAAACGAACCUUAUAUACAUAACAUACCGACAUCCAUUAAUAACUUUAACUGUUUAGAAGCCUUAUCUGUUGAUAGUUCCAAAGAAAAAAAUAUUAACAACAAUAACAAUAAUAGUAGUAAUAAUAAUAAUAAUAAUAUGUUUAAACAUGAGGAUACCAUUCCUGAUUUAAUACAGGAUACGGUUCCUGGUGUUCCUACAUCUGCUAACAAACAAGAUAACAGUUUAGAUUAUGUUAAAAAAAAAUGAAGAAAUUUUGGCUGACCUUUUUGGUAACAUCUCUAUUGAUGAGCCAAAAACGAGGCCCACACAAAAUGAGUCAACUGGUAACAUAAAAUUUUAUACCACCAUUCUCUGUUACAUUAUACAUAUAUAUAUAUAUAUAUAUAUAUAUAUAUAUAUAUAUGUACAUAUGUAUACGUAUAUAUAUUUUUUUUCUUUUUUUCUCAUUUCUUAUGCAGAAUACAAUUCGUUAAAUAUACUUAUGAAUGACACUCCAAAAGGGAACAAAGACGAUUUCUUUGACCUAAACCUAAUCGAAGAAAAAAAAGAUGAAAAGACUAUUAAUAUAACCCCUUUAAAAAUAUAUGACAAAAAUAACAUUGAAAUUAUGUUCCAAUUUGAUAAGGAAAGUUUAGAUUCGGAGAGUACUAAUAUAAAAGCUACUUAUUCGAACAAAUCGGACAAGCUUAUACCUUACUUUGUUUUUGAAGCUGUUGUUCCUAAUUAUGUCAAACUGAACAUAUUUAAAGCUUCGUCAACUGAAUUGUUACCCUUCGAAGAAAACAAAAUAACACAAAAUAUGCUAAUUGUUAACAAACUUUUUAAAAAAAAACCAGUCCUUAUGAAAGUUAGGAUAUCAUAUACAAAAGACAACGAAAAAAUACAAGAUUUUAUUAAUAUAGGGAAUUUUCCUGAUGUUUUAUAAUAUAUAUACACAUGUGUAAAUAUACAUAUGUGUAAAUAUACACAUGUGUAAAUAUACAUAUGUGUAAAUAUACAUAUGUGUAAAUAUACAUAUAUAUAUAUAUAUAACGAAGAAAAAAAAAAAAAAACUUUGUCCCUAUUCCCUUUCACAUUUUAUUUUUUAUAAAAAAUUAGAAAAAACAUUAACACAUAUGGACAUAUAACAUAUGGGUAUGUAUGUCACAUAUGAAUGUUGUUCCACAUACAUUCAUUCGUUCACUCAUCUAAUCAUACAAUUACCCAAUCGUUCAUUUUUUUUUUUUUUUUUUUUUUUUUUUUGGUAUUUUAUUACGCUUGUAUUUGUUACUUUAUUCGAUUAUUAUAUUAUGUUUGAUAAUUAUAUUCUGUUCGAUAAUUAUAUUUUGUUCGAUAAUUAUAUUAUGUUCGAUAAUUAUAUUCUGUUCGAUUAUUUUAUUAUGUUCGAUU